AGCUCAUAGUAUCAGAUACGCUCAUAGAACCAGCUCAUAGUAUCAGAUACGCGUGGGAACCAGCUCAUAGUAUCAGAUACGCGUAGGAACCAGCUCAUAGUAUCAGAUACGCUCAUAGAACCAGCUCAUAGUAUCAGAUACGCUUAUAGAACCAGCUCAUAGUAUCAGAUAUGCUCAUAGAACCACCUCAUAGUCUGUGACGUUUCAGCUUGUGUGUACUGUCUUCUGCUGGGUGGAAAACGUUCUCCCAGCUCAAAUGAGUCAGCCACCUUGCUGCCUUACUAGUGACUUAUUUUGCUUAAACUUUGAAAGUCUUUGUGUUAUAUUUGCUAAGGAUAGAAUGAAGAAAGUUCCACUCACCAAGCCAGAUUCCCUCACAUAUAAAUGAUUCUGGGAAGUUCUUUGAUUGUAGAAUAAUUAAUUUUGCUAUAAAAAUUUUGCAGUUAUCUGGGACACUGGUUAAAAAGAGGAACUUGAGUUACUAUGGUAAUGUCUAUAAUUUACAUAUAUUUAUGUAUCUCUUAUUGAAGCCAAAGGUCAAGAUUCAGUCAAACCAGGGAACUCAGCAAGUCAUGACCAACUGGCAUUUUUUGUAUGGUCUUGUUCCUGAAUAGCUGGAUUUUUUUCUUCUCUGAGAAAGUGACCUGUCUUCCCUCUCCUUUCAGUAAGUCAGUUCUGAUUUAUUUGGAGUCAUGGCACAGUACUAGAUGAUUCAAGCAGAGGAAGAAAAAAAGAUCUGUGGCACUUUAUUUUCCACUUUCCCCUGAUAAAAGUCCUAAAGGUAUCUAA
This is a long non-coding RNA of Odocoileus virginianus texanus, 789 nucleotides long. RefSeq lists it as uncharacterized. NCBI's taxonomy places the organism in Eukaryota, Metazoa, Chordata, Mammalia, Artiodactyla, Cervidae. The record is from RefSeq and is a predicted model, not a curated record.